UGUGUAGGCGGUCUCUUAAGUUUGGUGUGAAAUCUCCCGGCUCAACUGGGAGGGUGCGCCGAAUACUGAAAGACUAGAGUGCGGGAGAGGAGAGUGGAAUUCCUGGUGUAGCGGUGAAAUGCGUAGAUAUCAGGAGGAACACCGGUGGUGUAGGCGGCUCUCUGGACCGUAACUGACGCUGAGACACGAAAGCGUGGGUAGCAAACAGGAUUAGAUACCCUGGUAGUCCACGCCCUAAACGAUGCAUAUUUGGUGUGGGCAGUUCAGUCUGUCCGUGCCGGAGCUAACGCGUUAAAUAUGCCGCCUGGGGAGUACAGUCGCAAGGCUGAA
RNAcentral lists this ribosomal RNA (330 nucleotides) under uncultured bacterium. Its description in RNAcentral is "bacterial SSU rRNA". It matches the Rfam family "Bacterial small subunit ribosomal RNA", at positions 568 to 898 of the family's 1533-position model. The record is from RNAcentral.